GGAACUGGAGACCCUGAGGAGCAAAUCUGGUUCUUUUUUGUAAACAUCUAAAAAAAGAAAAAAGAAAAAAAAAAAGUAAAUCACGUACAGGGAAAAAAAAAAAAGAAAAAAUAAAGCAUUGCAGCAGACAAAAGAGAUGCGAGAGGGACCAGAGGACUGUUUCAGCAGUGGUCUUCUGAGUGGAUUACAAAGUUGUUGUGAGUCCCUUUCUGUGCAGCACUCUCCCUGCACGACACAACAGUUUCUGGCCAUUUAAUUACCAGGAAAAUGUUGACAGGGUGAAGGAUUUUAUAGGAAAAAGAAUAAUUACUUGGAGAGGGUUGGAAAGGUAGGGGAAAAUGACCAGAAGUGAAGACCUAGGGAAGAAGGGAGGGAGGCAGAUGUCAAAACCUAGAUCAGGCCACCAGAUCUGGAUCCAGUCUGGAUAGGAACAUCCUCCUUAAAUAUAAUCACUGUUUUCUUUACUGUGGAUGACUGAAGGGGAUCUGUACGCUCUGAAGGGGAUGUACUGUACAGGGGCAGCUGUGGGGCUUGGGAUCGGAGUAUGAAUGGCCUGGCCUGGGGUUGGGAGCCCAGCAGUUGUGCUGCAUGGGCGUUCCAAGCUCCAUGGGGAGUAAGAAUCCUGGCAACAAUGGCACUGGGAGCUGUACAGGCUUCCCAUCUUUAGGACACUAGGUGUUGGUGCUCCAUGAACACACCUCAACCAAUUGCGUUCGUAUCAUUGCAAGAGCUGGACAUGAUGGCCCUUGGGGGUCCCUUCAAACUCAGGGUAUUCUGAUUGCUGAACAGCUACUUACAGCUUUUCACAACCUUCCUGCUUGUUCUUCUUCACUGUGCCUGUUUGAAAGUGUCUUGAAAAUGAAAUUAUUUCCUGGAGGAAUUCUGAAAUUUUUCCUGAAUUCCUUUCUCAGUGUUUACUUGACUGAAAGGAUGCAAUUCCACUGAUUAGUCCAUUUUAAGUCCCUACUUCUGUAUUGAGAGAAAGCAGAAUGUUCUACUUUCUUUCCCUCCACUGUUGGGUAACAAAGGAACCAAAGACCAGACACGAGUUGUUUGAUGCAUGUCCUCUUGUAAUGACACAUCCAUCCAGAUGUUAUUCAUCAAAGUGAACACAUCCAUCGUAUGAGCUGCAUGUCAAGCCAGGCAAUAAACUUCUUGUAUUUCAUGUGAAUGUAGGAGUU
Molecule: long non-coding RNA, 1181 nt
Filed under: Phasianus colchicus (ring-necked pheasant)
Lineage: Eukaryota; Metazoa; Chordata; Aves; Galliformes; Phasianidae
Description: lncRNA (ENSPCLG00000011577.1)
Source: RNAcentral